This 960-nucleotide long non-coding RNA is filed under the name Olea europaea subsp. europaea. Lineage: Eukaryota; Viridiplantae; Streptophyta; Magnoliopsida; Lamiales; Oleaceae. The record is from RNAcentral.
CCCUGAAGUAAUGCGCCGUGCUUCUACAACUAUGACAAACACUAAAAUUUGGCGCUCUCAUCCUGAGAUUGAGAACAAACUCAUUAUAGACACAAAAUGAAAAAAAUUAUGCACGAAACUGCACCUCAAUUCUGAGAUUGACAAGAAACAAGUUACAAACAGAACUGCACAUCAAACUCAAUACCUUGUAGACUCAUUACAUUACAGACACAACAAACUCAAACAAUAUUCCACCAUUACAUUACAUUACAAACCAAUCAAAAGAAUGGCAACUCUUCCUCCAUUACACAUCAAUAGACACGAACUCAAACAAUAUUCCACCAUUACAAGGCCACUGAUGCCAACUUCUGUAAACUAAAACUGAAUUAAUUACUGAAGAUUCAAAAUCAUAAAAAAACAACCUUGUUCGAAUAUUCCACCAUCACAAAAAUGCACACAAACAAAUUUUAACUCCUUGUGAAACAAAUUAAGAUAAGCCAAAAAAUUCGUAAUGGACAAUGGAAACCCAAACCAUGAUUACAGCAGUGAAAUCUGGGUUUGUUAAAGAACAACAUUGUUCGAAUAAAGGGCAGUGAAAUGGUAGCUCAAACGGGGAUUACGGUAAAAAUGGUAAAAAAAUAGAAAAAUGCUAACUUGUUCACAACAAUGUUGGGAUAAAUCUGGACAAAACCGUUCUUCACUGUUGCGUUACCGUUCGUUCAAAUUUCUCAUCGGAGAUCUCUUCUACAGUAUUUGUACGAAGCAAUCAUAGGCGGAGAACUGAAAUGGUGGGAGUUCGACUAAGAAAAUAGUCACCGGAGAGUCGAAGAACAAGGCCGCCGUCCAAGCGUCUACUGGAUGCACCGAUCGGCGGGGCAAGCAGAUUCAAAUCGCCACUAGGGUUUCGAAGGCGAGAAACAGAGUUGGAAAUGAAAUGGUCUUUCACAAGUUUUUGACCUUUUAAUCUUUUUUUUUUUAAAA